UAUUUAAUAUUAUUUGUUUAUUAAUUUAAUUAUAAGAAAUUUAAAAUAAUUUAAAGUAUAGUAGUAGAAAUAAAUAAAUAAUAAAAAGUAAGUAUAU
Molecule: ribosomal RNA, 97 nt
Filed under: Orobdella tsushimensis
Lineage: Eukaryota; Metazoa; Annelida; Clitellata; Hirudinida; Orobdellidae
Description: partial 16S ribosomal RNA
Source: RNAcentral